This 489-nucleotide ribosomal RNA is filed under the name uncultured bacterium. RNAcentral's name for it is "partial 16S ribosomal RNA". It matches the Rfam family "Bacterial small subunit ribosomal RNA", at positions 30 to 507 of the family's 1533-position model. The record is from RNAcentral.
UUGAACGCUGGCGGCAGGCCUAACCCAUGCAAGUCGAACGGUAACAGGAAACAGCUUGCUGUUUCGCUGACGAGUGGCGGACGGGUGAGUAAUGUCUGGGAAACUGCCUGAUGGAGGGGGAUAACUACUGGAAACGGUAGCUAAUACCGCAUAACGUCGCAAGACCAAAGAGGGGGACCUUCGGGCCUCUUGCCAUCGGAUGUGCCCAGAUGGGAUUAGCUAGUAGGUGGGGUAACGGCUCACCUAGGCGACGAUCCCUAGCUGGUCUGAGAGGAUGACCAGCCACACUGGAACUGAGACACGGUCCAGACUCCUACGGGAGGCAGCAGUGGGGAAUAUUGCACAAUGGGCGCAAGCCUGAUGCAGCCAUGCCGCGUGUAUGAAGAAGGCCUUCGGGUUGUAAAGUACUUUCAGCGGGGAUGAAGGGAGUAAAGUUAAUACCUUUGCUCAUUGACGUUACCCGCAGAAGAAGCACCGGCUAACUCCGUG